This 1410-nucleotide ribosomal RNA is filed under the name Klebsiella pneumoniae. Its description in RNAcentral is "bacterial SSU rRNA". It matches the Rfam family "Bacterial small subunit ribosomal RNA". The record is from RNAcentral. Lineage: Bacteria; Pseudomonadati; Pseudomonadota; Gammaproteobacteria; Enterobacterales; Enterobacteriaceae.
AACGCUGGCGGCAGGCCUAACACAUGCAAGUCGAGCGGUAGCACAGAGAGCUUGCUCUCGGGUGACGAGCGGCGGACGGGUGAGUAAUGUCUGGGAAACUGCCUGAUGGAGGGGGAUAACUACUGGAAACGGUAGCUAAUACCGCAUAAUGUCGCAAGACCAAAGUGGGGGACCUUCGGGCCUCAUGCCAUCAGAUGUGCCCAGAUGGGAUUAGCUAGUAGGUGGGGUAACGGCUCACCUAGGCGACGAUCCCUAGCUGGUCUGAGAGGAUGACCAGCCACACUGGAACUGAGACACGGUCCAGACUCCUACGGGAGGCAGCAGUGGGGAAUAUUGCACAAUGGGCGCAAGCCUGAUGCAGCCAUGCCGCGUGUGUGAAGAAGGCCUUCGGGUUGUAAAGCACUUUCAGCGGGGAGGAAGGCGAUAAGGUUAAUAACCUCAUCGAUUGACGUUACCCGCAGAAGAAGCACCGGCUAACUCCGUGCCAGCAGCCGCGGUAAUACGGAGGGUGCAAGCGUUAAUCGGAAUUACUGGGCGUAAAGCGCACGCAGGCGGUCUGUCAAGUCGGAUGUGAAAUCCCCGGGCUCAACCUGGGAACUGCAUUCGAAACUGGCAGGCUAGAGUCUUGUAGAGGGGGGUAGAAUUCCAGGUGUAGCGGUGAAAUGCGUAGAGAUCUGGAGGAAUACCGGUGGCGAAGGCGGCCCCCUGGACAAAGACUGACGCUCAGGUGCGAAAGCGUGGGGAGCAAACAGGAUUAGAUACCCUGGUAGUCCACGCCGUAAACGAUGUCGAUUUGGAGGUUGUGCCCUUGAGGCGUGGCUUCCGGAGCUAACGCGUUAAAUCGACCGCCUGGGGAGUACGGCCGCAAGGUUAAAACUCAAAUGAAUUGACGGGGGCCCGCACAAGCGGUGGAGCAUGUGGUUUAAUUCGAUGCAACGCGAAGAACCUUACCUGGUCUUGACAUCCACAGAACUUUCCAGAGAUGGAUUGGUGCCUUCGGGAACUGUGAGACAGGUGCUGCAUGGCUGUCGUCAGCUCGUGUUGUGAAAUGUUGGGUUAAGUCCCGCAACGAGCGCAACCCUUAUCCUUUGUUGCCAGCGGUCCGGCCGGGAACUCAAAGGAGACUGCCAGUGAUAAACUGGAGGAAGGUGGGGAUGACGUCAAGUCAUCAUGGCCCUUACGACCAGGGCUACACACGUGCUACAAUGGCAUAUACAAAGAGAAGCGACCUCGCGAGAGCAAGCGGACCUCAUAAAGUAUGUCGUAGUCCGGAUUGGAGUCUGCAACUCGACUCCAUGAAGUCGGAAUCGCUAGUAAUCGUAGAUCAGAAUGCUACGGUGAAUACGUUCCCGGGCCUUGUACACACCGCCCGUCACACCAUGGGGAGUGGGUUGCAAAAGAAGUAGGUAG